Molecule: ribosomal RNA, 497 nt
Filed under: uncultured bacterium
Lineage: Bacteria
Description: partial 16S ribosomal RNA
Rfam family: Bacterial small subunit ribosomal RNA
Source: RNAcentral
GACGAACGCUGGCGGCGUGCCUAAUACAUGCAAGUAGAACGCUGAAGCGAGGAGCUUGCUCCUCUUGGAUGAGUUGCGAACGGGUGAGUAACGCGUAGGUAACCUGCCUUUUAGCGGGGGAUAACUAUUGGAAACGAUAGCUAAUACCGCAUAACAAUUGAUGACACAUGUCAUAUAUUUGAAAGGGGCAUUUGCUCUACCACAAGAUGUACUUGCGUUGUCUUAGCUAGUAGGUGAUGUAAUGGCUCACCGAGGCGAAGAUACCUAACCGACCUGAAAGGGGUGACAGCCACGAUGGGACUGGGACACGGCUCAGACUCCUUCGGGAGGCAGCAGUAGGGAAUUCUCCGCAAUGGGGGCAACGCUGGACGGGCAACGCCGCGUGAGUGGAUAAGGUUUUCGGAUCGGAAAGCUCUGUUGUAAGUCAAGAACGGAUGUUAUAGUGGAAAGUUCACACUGUGACGGUAGCUUACCAGAAAGGGACGGCUAACUACGUG